CUUCGGCCUGCCGGCGAGUGGCGAACGGGUGAGUAAUGCAUCGGAACGUGCCCAGUCAUGGGGGAUAACUACGCGAAAGCGUAGCUAAUACCGCAUACGCCCUGAGGGGGAAAGUGGGGGAUCUUCGGACCUCACGUGAUUGGAGCGGCCGAUGUCAGAUUAGCUAGUUGGUGAGGUAAAGGCUCACCAAGGCGACGAUCUGUAGCGGGUCUGAGAGGAUGAUCCGCCACACUGGGACUGAGACACGGCCCAGACUCCUACGGGAGGCAGCAGUGGGGAAUUUUGGACAAUGGGCGCAAGCCUGAUCCAGCCAUGCCGCGUGAGUGAAGAAGGCCUUCGGGUUGUAAAGCUCUUUCGCAAGGGAAGAAAACGUGUGGGCUAAUAUCCUGCGCGGAUGACGGUACCUUGACAAGAAGCACCGGCUAACUACGUGCCAGCAGCCGCGGUAAUACGUAGGGUGCGAGCGUUAAUCGG
Molecule: ribosomal RNA, 474 nt
Filed under: uncultured Azoarcus sp.
Lineage: Bacteria; Pseudomonadati; Pseudomonadota; Betaproteobacteria; Rhodocyclales; Zoogloeaceae
Description: bacterial SSU rRNA
Rfam family: Bacterial small subunit ribosomal RNA
Source: RNAcentral